GCCGAGAUGGCGGAAUUGGUAGACGCGCUAGCUUCAGGUGCUAGUUGGGGUAACUCAGUGGAGGUUCAAGUCCUCUUCUCGGCACCA
Molecule: transfer RNA, 87 nt
Filed under: Gammaproteobacteria bacterium
Lineage: Bacteria; Pseudomonadati; Pseudomonadota; Gammaproteobacteria
Also listed under: 1 other name
Description: tRNA-Leu
Rfam family: tRNA
About the family: Transfer RNA (tRNA) molecules are approximately 80 nucleotides in length.
Source: RNAcentral